RNAcentral lists this unclassified non-coding RNA (203 nucleotides) under soil metagenome. RNAcentral describes it as "partial contains 5.8S ribosomal RNA, internal transcribed spacer 2, and large subunit ribosomal RNA". The record is from RNAcentral.
AACCAUUCUCACCUGCGGCUAGACCUGCGGAAGGAUCAUUACCUAGAGUUUGUAGACUUCGGUCUGCUACCUCUUACCCAUGUCUUUUGAGUACCUUCGUUUCCUCGGCGGGUCCGCCCGCCGAUUGGACAACAUUCAAACCCUUUGCAGUUGCAAUCAGCGUCUGAAAAAACAUAAUAGUUACAACUUUCAACAAUGGAUCU